GUAGGAGGCAAGCGUUAUCCGGAUUCACUGGGCGUAAAGCGCGUGCAGGUGGCGCGGUAAGUUGGGUGUGAAAUCUCCCGGCUCAACUGGGAGAGGUCAUUCAAUACUACCGUGCUUGAGAGCAGAAGAGGAAGAUGGAAUUCCCGGUGUAGUGGUGAAAUGCGUAGAUAUCGGGAGGAACACCAGUGGCGAAGGCGAUCUUCUGGUCUGUUUCUGACACUCAUACGCGACAGCUAGGGUAGUAAACGGGAUUAGAGACCCCGGUAAUCCUAGCCGUAAACGAUGUGAACUUGGCGUUGGUGGGUUAAACUCCAUCAGUGCUGCAGCAAACGCGAUAAGUUCACCGCCUGGGGACUACGGCCGCAAGGUUA
RNAcentral lists this ribosomal RNA (371 nucleotides) under uncultured organism. RNAcentral describes it as "bacterial SSU rRNA". It matches the Rfam family "Bacterial small subunit ribosomal RNA", at positions 527 to 896 of the family's 1533-position model. The record is from RNAcentral.